RNAcentral lists this long non-coding RNA (598 nucleotides) under Triticum aestivum (bread wheat). RNAcentral describes it as "long non-coding RNA (TAES_LNC021971)". Lineage: Eukaryota; Viridiplantae; Streptophyta; Magnoliopsida; Poales; Poaceae. The record is from RNAcentral.
CACGGUCCGACCGGCUGCUGCUAUCGCUGGCCGCCGUGUGCUAUGGGCGUUUAUCAGAUGGCAAGAGUACUGCAGCUGCAGCCUGCAGGAGAGAAAUAGUUCCAUGUAUUAGGCUGCUUUGACAGAUAAUUACAUGGGUGUGUGGGCAUGGCGCCCAUCAGAUCUGCCCGCACUUUUCUCCUACGACAUUUGCCAAAACUCAAAAGGAGAAACUGCCAGAUCAUACCUCUAAUUAAGCAGACACAGGUCGAUCUCGCCAUGGAAGUAGAACUGCAAUCAGUUUCUGUGGCAAACCAAAAUUAGGUUGCUUGUUGGCACUCUAUCCGCUUGAUUUGGUACCUGCUGAUCCGCCAUGGACGUCGAACUGCAAUCAGUUUGUUGGACAAACCAAAUUUUGGUCGCUCUUUGGCGACUCUACCCGCUUGACAUUGGUACCUGCUGAUCUGCGACGGUAGUGCGGCUAGUCCAGAUUCGAUAACCAUGAAAUCGAGGAGAGGGUCGGUGAAGAUUGGAAUUGGAGGGAGACAGAUGGGAUAUGUAGACAGGAAAGGGAAGAACAAACGUCACGAAGAGAAGGGGAGAAGAUUGGGCUGUGGGC